RNAcentral lists this unclassified non-coding RNA (169 nucleotides) under uncultured Sebacina. Its description in RNAcentral is "sequence contains ITS1". The record is from RNAcentral. Lineage: Eukaryota; Fungi; Basidiomycota; Agaricomycetes; Sebacinales; Sebacinaceae.
UCAAUUGAGAAUCAUUGCCUUCAGUGCUGGCCAGCUCUGGCAAGUGCACAUCAGUGACUUUUAUCCAAUACCCUUGUGCACCAUUGGCCUCUGCUAGCUUUGGCUGGCAGAGGAAUUUUACACAAACUGAAUGUAAUGAAAUUUAUUGUCAUGCACAAGCACUAAUGUU